RNAcentral lists this ribosomal RNA (499 nucleotides) under uncultured bacterium. RNAcentral's name for it is "partial 16S ribosomal RNA". It matches the Rfam family "Bacterial small subunit ribosomal RNA", at positions 30 to 523 of the family's 1533-position model. The record is from RNAcentral.
AUUGAACGCUGGCGGAAUGCUUUACACAUGCAAGUCGAACGGCAGCACGGACUUCGGUCUGGUGGCGAGUGGCGAACGGGUGAGUAAUGUAUCGGAACGUGCCCAGUCGUGGGGGAUAACGUAGUGAAAAUUACGCUAAUACCGCAUACGAUCUAUGGAUGAAAGCGGGGGAGCGCAAGACCUCGCGCGAUUGGAGCGGCCGAUAUCAGAUUAGGUAGUUGGUGGGGUAAAGGCCCACCAAGCCAACGAUCUGUAGCUGGUCUGAGAGGACGACCAGCCACACUGGAACUGAGACACGGUCCAGACUCCUACGGGAGGCAGCAGUGGGGAAUUUUGGACAAUGGGCGAAAGCCUGAUCCAGCCAUUCCGCGUGCAGGAUGAAGGCCCUCGGGUUGUAAACUGCUUUUGUACAGAACGAAAAGGUUUCUACUCAUACUAGGAGCUCAUGACGGUACUGUAAGAAUAAGCACCGGCUAACUACGUGCCAGCAGCCCGGUAA